Molecule: ribosomal RNA, 420 nt
Filed under: uncultured bacterium
Lineage: Bacteria
Description: bacterial SSU rRNA
Rfam family: Bacterial small subunit ribosomal RNA
Source: RNAcentral
UGGGGAAUAUUGCACAAUGGGCGCAAGCCUGAUGCAGCAACGCCGCGUGAGGGACGACGGCCUUCGGGUUGUAAACCUCUUUUAGUAGGGAAGAAGCGAAGUGUUUUACAUGGAGUGACGGUACCUGCAGAAAAAGCACCGGCUAACUACGUGCCAGCAGCCGCGGUAAUACGUAGGGUGCAAGCGUUAUCCGGAAUUAUUGGGCGUAAAGAGCUCGUAGGCGGUUUGUCGCGUCUGCUGUGAAAACUGGGGGCUCAACCCCCAGCCUGCAGUGGGUACGGGCAGACUAGAGUGCGGUAGGGGAGAUUGGAAUUCCUGGUGUAGCGGUGGAAUGCGCAGAUAUCAGGAGGAACACCAAUGGCGAAGGCAGAUCUCUGGGCCGUAACUGACGCUGAGGAGCGAAAGCAUGGGGAGCGAACA